Molecule: ribosomal RNA, 1118 nt
Filed under: Salmonella enterica subsp. enterica serovar Newport str. 36807
Lineage: Bacteria; Pseudomonadati; Pseudomonadota; Gammaproteobacteria; Enterobacterales; Enterobacteriaceae
Description: bacterial SSU rRNA
Rfam family: Bacterial small subunit ribosomal RNA
Source: RNAcentral
AAAUUGAAGAGUUUGAUCAUGGCUCAGAUUGAACGCUGGCGGCAGGCCUAACACAUGCAAGUCGAACGGUAACAGGAAGCAGCUUGCUGCUUCGCUGACGAGUGGCGGACGGGUGAGUAAUGUCUGGGAAACUGCCUGAUGGAGGGGGAUAACUACUGGAAACGGUGGCUAAUACCGCAUAACGUCGCAAGACCAAAGAGGGGGACCUUCGGGCCUCUUGCCAUCAGAUGUGCCCAGAUGGGAUUAGCUUGUUGGUGAGGUAACGGCUCACCAAGGCGACGAUCCCUAGCUGGUCUGAGAGGAUGACCAGCCACACUGGAACUGAGACACGGUCCAGACUCCUACGGGAGGCAGCAGUGGGGAAUAUUGCACAAUGGGCGCAAGCCUGAUGCAGCCAUGCCGCGUGUAUGAAGAAGGCCUUCGGGUUGUAAAGUACUUUCAGCGGGGAGGAAGGUGUUGUGGUUAAUAACCGCAGCAAUUGACGUUACCCGCAGAAGAAGCACCGGCUAACUCCGUGCCAGCAGCCGCGGUAAUACGGAGGGUGCAAGCGUUAAUCGGAAUUACUGGGCGUAAAGCGCACGCAGGCGGUCUGUCAAGUCGGAUGUGAAAUCCCCGGGCUCAACCUGGGAACUGCAUUCGAAACUGGCAGGCUUGAGUCUUGUAGAGGGGGGUAGAAUUCCAGGUGUAGCGGUGAAAUGCGUAGAGAUCUGGAGGAAUACCGGUGGCGAAGGCGGCCCCCUGGACAAAGACUGACGCUCAGGUGCGAAAGCGUGGGGAGCAAACAGGAUUAGAUACCCUGGUAGUCCACGCCGUAAACGAUGUCUACUUGGAGGUUGUGCCCUUGAGGCGUGGCUUCCGGAGCUAACGCGUUAAGUAGACCGCCUGGGGAGUACGGCCGCAAGGUUAAAACUCAAAUGAAUUGACGGGGGCCCGCACAAGCGGUGGAGCAUGUGGUUUAAUUCGAUGCAACGCGAAGAACCUUACCUGGUCUUGACAUCCACAGAACUUUCCAGAGAUGGAUUGGUGCCUUCGGGAACUGUGAGACAGGUGCUGCAUGGCUGUCGUCAGCUCGUGUUGUGAAAUGUUGGGUUAAGUCCCGCAACGAGCGCAACCCUUAU